This 1566-nucleotide ribosomal RNA is filed under the name Escherichia coli B15. Its description in RNAcentral is "partial 23S ribosomal RNA". The stretch from base 571 to 1566 matches the Rfam family "Bacterial small subunit ribosomal RNA", at positions 1 to 987 of the family's 1533-position model. The record is from RNAcentral. Lineage: Bacteria; Pseudomonadati; Pseudomonadota; Gammaproteobacteria; Enterobacterales; Enterobacteriaceae.
UUCACCUUUUAAGAUCCGUUGCGCCAGCUUCUCAGCCAGAACAUACGAAAGGUUUUUCUGUGCAGCUAACUGUUGUGCGCUUAAAGGCAUUACUAAUCUUCCUUUUUCUUUUUAUUCCUCCUUAGUAUGCCACCAGGAAGUGUGAUUACGGUUGCAAAAACGGCAAAUUGCUUGUUUUAUGGCACAUUAACGGGGCUUUUGCUGAAAAAAUGCGCGGUCAGAAAAUUAUUUUAAAUUUCCUCUUGUCAGACCGGAAUAACUCCCUAUAAUGCGCCACCACUGACACGGAACAACGGCAAGCACGCCGCCGGGUCAGCGGGGUUCUCCUGAGAAUUCCGGCAGAGAAAGCAAAAAUAAAUGCUUGACUCUGUAGCGGGAAAGCGUAUUAUGCACACCCCGCGCCGCUGAGAAAAAGCGAAGCGGCACUGCUCUUUAACAAUUUAUCAGACAAUCUGUGUGGGCACUCGAAGAUACGGAUUCUUAACGUCGCAAGACGAAAAAUGAAUACCAAGUCUCAAGAGUGAACACGUAAUUCAUUACGAAGUUUAAUUCUUUGAGCAUCAAACUUUUAAAUUGAAGAGUUUGAUCAUGGCUCAGAUUGAACGCUGGCGGCAGGCCUAACACAUGCAAGUCGAACGGUAACAGGAAGAAGCUUGCUUCUUUGCUGACGAGUGGCGGACGGGUGAGUAAUGUCUGGGAAACUGCCUGAUGGAGGGGAUAACUACUGGAAACGGUAGCUAAUACCGCAUAACGUCGCAAGACCAAAGAGGGGGACCUUCGGGCCUCUUGCCAUCGGAUGUGCCCAGAUGGGAUUAGCUAGUAGGUGGGGUAACGGCUCACCUAGGCGACGAUCCCUAGCUGGUCUGAGAGGAUGACCAGCCACACUGGAACUGAGACACGGUCCAGACUCCUACGGGAGGCAGCAGUGGGGAAUAUUGCACAAUGGGCGCAAGCCUGAUGCAGCCAUGCCGCGUGUAUGAAGAAGGCCUUCGGGUUGUAAAGUACUUUCAGCGGGGAGGAAGGGAGUAAAGUUAAUACCUUUGCUCAUUGACGUUACCCGCAGAAGAAGCACCGGCUAACUCCGUGCCAGCAGCCGCGGUAAUACGGAGGGUGCAAGCGUUAAUCGGAAUUACUGGGCGUAAAGCGCACGCAGGCGGUUUGUUAAGUCAGAUGUGAAAUCCCCGGGCUCAACCUGGGAACUGCAUCUGAUACUGGCAAGCUUGAGUCUCGUAGAGGGGGGUAGAAUUCCAGGUGUAGCGGUGAAAUGCGUAGAGAUCUGGAGGAAUACCGGUGGCGAAGGCGGCCCCCUGGACGAAGACUGACGCUCAGGUGCGAAAGCGUGGGGAGCAAACAGGAUUAGAUACCCUGGUAGUCCACGCCGUAAACGAUGUCGACUUGGAGGUUGUGCCCUUGAGGCGUGGCUUCCGGAGCUAACGCGUUAAGUCGACCGCCUGGGGAGUACGGCCGCAAGGUUAAAACUCAAAUGAAUUGACGGGGGCCCGCACAAGCGGUGGAGCAUGUGGUUUAAUUCGAUGCAACGCGAAGAACCUUACCUGGUCUUGACAU